GUCAGUCAUCACCUCCCUUGGCUGGGAAUGUGGGCUCCCCUGGCUCUGUGCCUCUCCCAGAUGGGAUAUCUCCCCACCCUGCUUUUCCUUGCUCUCCAUGGGUUGAGCUGUCCACCUAGUCAGUCCCAAUGCAAGAACCUGGAUUCCUCAGUUGAAGGUGCAUAAUUCACUUGCUGUUUUUAUUUCACUUUGUGAGAGCUGCAGACUGCAGCUGCGUCUAAUCAACCAUCUUGGCCCACCCACCCAAAAAAGUUAAAAUUGUUUCUUUAAAAUAUGUGUUGCUAUCCUUUGGCUCUGUGUUCCCACCAAAAUCUGUCAAAUUGUAACUCCCAGUGUUGGAAGAGGGGUCUCAUGGGAAGUGAUUGAAUCAUGGGGGCAGAUUGAUUUGUGGUUUAAUUGAUUACCCAUAAAUAUAGAAAUGAUUACAUCUGUUCUUUCAACUCCAGUUAGGUGUGGAUCUAGGCUAAGGAAACUGAAUGCUGAGAUUUAUGGCAAUUUUGGGACUACUACAACUGACUAUGGAAAUGCUGUUAGACAAAAAGCAAAUUUGAGCAAUUUUCUCAUUUGAGUUCAAAAUGUGUCGUAAAACAGUGGAGACAACUCGCAACAUCAGUAAAGCAUUUGGCCCAGGAACUGUUACUGAACAUACAAUGUAGUGGCGGUUCAAGAAGUUUUGCAAAGGAGAUGAGAGCCUUGAAGAUGAGAAGCAUAGUGGCUGGCCAUCGGAAGUUGACAACAACCAAUUGAGAGAAUCUUUGAAGCUGAUCCUCUUACAACUACACAAGAAGUUGCCUUAAAACUCAACACCAACCAUUCUAUGGUCAUUUGUAAUUUGAAGCAAAUUGGAAAGGUGAAAAAGCUUGAUAAGUGGGUGUCUCAUGAGCUGAGCAAAAAUUUUAAAAAAUCAUCAUUUUGAAGUGUCAUCUCUCAUUCUAUGCAGUAACAAUGAACCAUGUAUCAAUCGAAUUAUGAUGUACAACAAAAAGUGGAUUUUAUACAAUAACCAGUGAUGACCAACCAGCUCAGUGGUUAGACCAAGAAGAAGCUCCAAAGCCCUUCCCAAAGCCAAAACUGCACGAGAAAAAGGUCAUGGUCACUGUUUGGUAGUCUGCUGCCAGUCUAAUCCACUACAGCUUUCUGAAUUCUGGCAAAAGCAUUACAACUGAGAAAUAUGCUCAGCAAAUCAAUGAGAUGCACCAAAACCCACAAUGCCUGCAGUUGCCAUUUGCCAACAGAUAGGGCCCAAUUCUUCUCCACAACACCACCUGACUGCACGUUGCACAACCAAUGCUUCAACAGUUUAAUGAAUUGGGCUACGAAGUUUUGCCUCAUCUGUCAUAUUCACCUGACCUCUCGCCAACCGACUACCACUUCUUCAAGCACCUCGACAACUUUUUGCAGCGAAAAUGCUUCCACAACCAGCAGGAAGCAGAAAAUGCUUCCCAAGGGUUCGUUGAAUCCCAAAGCAUGGAUUUUUACCCUACAGGAAUAAACAAACUUAUUUCUCUUUGGAAAAAAUGUGUUCAUUGUAAUGAUUCCUGUUUUGGUUAAUAAAGAUGUGUUUGAACCUAUUUAUGAUUUAAAA
Molecule: long non-coding RNA, 1585 nt
Organism: Homo sapiens (human)
Lineage: Eukaryota; Metazoa; Chordata; Mammalia; Primates; Hominidae
Exons: 2
Source: RefSeq, a predicted model, not a curated record